GAUCUUGCGACAAUGGGCGAAAGCCUGACGCAGCAACGCCGCGUGCGGGAGGACGGCCUUCGGGUUGUAAACCGCUUUUCGGGGGGAAGAGGAAGGACGGUACCCCCGGAAGAAGUCUCGGCUAACUUCGUGCCAGCAGCCGCGGUAAUACGAAGGGUGCAAGCGUUAAUCGGAAUUACUGGGCGUAAAGCGCGCGUAGGUGGUUCAGUAAGAUGGAAGUGAAAGCCCCGGGCUCAACCUGGGAACUGCUUUCAAAACUGGCAAGCUAGAGUAUGGCAGAGGGUGGUGGAAUUUCCUGUGUAGCGGUGAAAUGCGUAGAUAUAGGAAGGAACAUCAGUGGCGAAGGCGACUACCUGGACUGAUACUGACACUGAGGUGCGAAAGCGUGGGGAGCAAACAGG
RNAcentral lists this ribosomal RNA (401 nucleotides) under uncultured bacterium. Its description in RNAcentral is "partial 16S ribosomal RNA". It matches the Rfam family "Bacterial small subunit ribosomal RNA", at positions 359 to 776 of the family's 1533-position model. The record is from RNAcentral.